RNAcentral lists this ribosomal RNA (1366 nucleotides) under uncultured bacterium. Its description in RNAcentral is "16S ribosomal RNA". It matches the Rfam family "Bacterial small subunit ribosomal RNA". The record is from RNAcentral.
UAGUGGCGAACGGGUGAGUAUCGCGUGGGAAUCUACCUAGAAGUGGGGAAUAACUGUUGGAAACGACAGCUAAUACCGCAUAAUCCCUUCGGGGCAAAGGCUUCGGCCGCUUUUAGAUGAGCCCGCGUUAGAUUAGGCUGUUGGUGAGGUAAUGGCUCACCAAACCUACAAUCUAUAGCUGGUCUGAGAGGAUGAUCAGCCACACUGGGACUGAGACACGGCCCAGACUCCUACGGGAGGCAGCAGUAAGGAAUCUUGCACAAUGGAGGAAACUCUGAUGCAGCGAUGCCGCGUGAGUGAAGAAGGCCCUUGGGUUGUAAAGCUCUUUCGUCGGGGAAGAAAAUGACUGUACCCGAAUAAGAAGGUCCGGCUAACUUCGUGCCAGCAGCCGCGGUAAUACGAAGGGACCUAGCGUAGUUCGGAAUUACUGGGCUUAAAGAGUUCGUAGGUGGUUAAAAAAGUUGGUGGUGAAAUCCCAGAGCUUAACUCUGGAACUGCCAUCAAAACUUUUCAGCUAGAGUUUGAUAGAGGAAAGCAGAAUUUCUAGUGUAGAGGUGAAAUUCGUAGAUAUUAGAAAGAAUACCAAUUGCGAAGGCAGCUUUCUGGAUCAUUACUGACACUGAGGAACGAAAGCAUGGGUAGCGAAGAGGAUUAGAUACCCUCGUAGUCCAUGCCGUAAACGAUGUGUGUUAGACGUUGGAAAUUUAUUUUCAGUGUCGCAGCGAAAGCGAUAAACACACCGCCUGGGGAGUACGACCGCAAGGUUAAAACUCAAAUGAAUUGACGGGGACCCGCACAAGUAGUGGAGCAUGUGGUUUAAUUCGAAGAUACGCGCAGAACCUUACCAACACUUGACAUGUUCGUCGCGACUUUAAGAGAUUAAAGUUUUCGGUUCGGCCGGACGAAACACAGGUGCUGCAUGGCUGUCGUCAGCUCGUGUCGUGAGAUGUUGGGUUAAGUCCCGCAACGAGCGCAACCCUCACUUUUAGUUGCCAUCAUUUAGUUGGGCACUCUGAAAGAACUGCCAGUGAUAAGCUGGAGGAAGGUGGGGAUGACGUCAAGUCCUCAUGGCCCUUACGUGUUGGGCUACACACGUGCUACAAUGGUAUCUACAACAGGAAGCAAAACGGCGACGUUAAGCAAAUCCUUAAAAGAUACCUCAGUUCGGAUUGCACUCUGCAACUCGAGUGCAUGAAGCUGGAAUUACUAGUAAUCGUGGAUCAGCGUGCCACGGUGAAUGCGUUCCCGGGUCUUGUACACACCGCCCGUCACACCAUGGGAGUUGGUUCUACCUUAAGGCAAGGUUUAAAAUCCUUGACCACGGUAUAGUCAGCGACUGGGGUGAAGUCAUAACAAGGUAGCCGUA